UACGUAGGGUGCAAGCGUUGUCCGGAAUUAUUGGGCGUAAAGAGCUUGUAGGCGGUUUGUCGCGUCUGCUGUGAAAAUCCGGGGCUCAACCUCGGGCCUGCAGUCGAUACGGGCAAACUAGAGUACUGCAGGGGAGACUGGAAUUCCUGGUGUAGCGGUGAAAUGCGCAGAUAUCAGGAGGAACACCGGUGGCGAAGGCGGAUCUCUGGGCCAGUAUUGACGCUGAGGAGCGAAAGCGUGGGUAGCAAACAGG
Molecule: ribosomal RNA, 253 nt
Filed under: uncultured bacterium
Lineage: Bacteria
Description: partial 16S ribosomal RNA
Rfam family: Bacterial small subunit ribosomal RNA
Source: RNAcentral